Salarias fasciatus (jewelled blenny) is the source of this 1633-nucleotide long non-coding RNA. RefSeq lists it as uncharacterized. NCBI's taxonomy places the organism in Eukaryota, Metazoa, Chordata, Actinopteri, Blenniiformes, Blenniidae. The record is from RefSeq and is a predicted model, not a curated record. The transcript is spliced from 5 exons.
UUUUUUUUUUUUUUUUAGCUUAAUCUUGAAAUACUAUAGAAUUUCUGAUUAAAACAGGUGUUGGAGUCAUUAGAAAGUGUUAAAUGAAUGACUCACUGAAUGAUCCUGGUGUUUUGAUCCAUUGUAAUCCACUGUGUGCGGCGCAGCGCUGCUGCUCUUUAAACCUGUUUUUGUGAGCGUCUGUUUUGAACAGACUGCUGGUGUGUCAGACCUGGAAACCGGCUGUGUUUGAGCUCUGGAGAACUGCGUCACUCCCAAAACAUUUCCUGGUGUAUCGGAGUGGAGACAGGCGGAGGAAGAAGCAGGUGGAAGACUGAAAAGUUUUUCUGAUUGUUAGUCUGAUAUAAAAGCUUAAUUCUAACCCAAUAAUAUCAGUGUGAAAUGUGAUCUGUGUCUCCAGGGGUCUCUGCUCCAUCCUGACUGGAGGGGAGGAAAAACCUGACUGAAGAUGUCUGGUGUGGAUGAAGAGGAGGACGGAUCAGAGUGUGAGGACAGGUUGUCUCUGAAGAGCAACAAGUCCAUAGAUCAUCCUCCAAAAUUCAGUAUUGAACCUGGACCCGCAGACUCAAAAUGUCAGCAGCUUAGACACACAACAGAGUCUUCAGGAUCCAGCAGUUGUUCUCUGAAGAGUGACUGGUCCAAAGAACGUCCUCCAAACUUCAGUGGUGAACCUGGAGUUUCGGACACACAGUUAGAAACUGUUUCACUUUCAUUUCCUCAAUAUCAGUGUGUAUUGAUUGUCUUUUAUCCAUAAUUUGAUAAAUUCGCAUUUUAAAGCGCUCUGUGUGCUCUGAUGUUGAGUCAUUAUGCUGGUAAAAAUACAUUUGCCAUUAAAGCUUGCUGCGCCUGUCAAACUGUCUCACAGUAGCCACAUUCACAUGGGUUCAAAAAUCUGCCUUAUAAUCAUGUGUGGUCAGACAGACUGAAAAUGUCUCACAUAAACAUUUGAGUGAAUCAGAUUCACUCCUAUCAGGUUAAAUGUCAUAACAUUGUCAGAUGUAGUCUACCCUGACUGAUAAUCUGCUUGAUGCCAGAGGGUUCUUCAUUCCACUCAUGCGCUCCCUCGUACAGAGAGUCACAUGAUGACAUGAGCAGAAAACAGGAAGCAGGAAUCAGGAAAGUCAAAAACAAAACAAGCAGGAGUACUGGACGGUGGUUUAGAAAAAAAAAACUUUUGAUAGAAACUCAGAGAGCAAAAACUUGAGGUGCAAUGGACGCAAAUCGCAGAAGAGCAAGUUGUCAAACAGUUCUGAGGCGGACAGCAAGCAGGCCACCCGCUACCCGCUACCCAGCGUCAGGCCGCCACCCGUUAUUUGAAAACUGUGAUAGUUCUACAUUUCAAUCCAUUCAGUGUGUUCUGAUCGAUUUGGACAGUCAAAAUGAAGAAACUUUGCGACCUUCAAUCUGAAUUCAGUGCAUUGAACACACCACCAUACGCUUCUGGUUUGUGUGUGUAGAUAUCAGCAGCCCAGGCAGACAGCAGAGUCUUCAGGAUCAAUCUGGUCGUCUGUGAAGAGUUUCUGGUCCAACUAUUUUCUCCCAACAUUCUUCAGGGGUGAAUCUUCAGACUCAAAAGAGAAGAAGAGCAGUGAUGUCUGUGAGGAGCAGCCAGAAAGAUCCAGAAGCGUCACUG